Molecule: RNase P RNA, 374 nt
Filed under: Legionella clemsonensis
Lineage: Bacteria; Pseudomonadati; Pseudomonadota; Gammaproteobacteria; Legionellales; Legionellaceae
Description: Bacterial RNase P class A
Rfam family: Bacterial RNase P class A
About the family: Ribonuclease P (RNase P) is a ubiquitous endoribonuclease, found in archaea, bacteria and eukarya as well as chloroplasts and mitochondria. Its best characterised activity is the generation of mature 5'-ends of tRNAs by cleaving the 5'-leader elements of precursor-tRNAs.
Source: Rfam by way of RNAcentral
AAAGUCGAUCAGACAAUCGCUUUUUACUUCAGUAAAAAGAGGAAAGUCCGGGCUCCAUAGGGUAAAGUGCCAGGUAAUGCCUGGGAGGCGCGAGCCUACGGAAAGUGCCACAGAAAAUAUACCGCCUUGCCUGAAGCAUAGCGACAGUUGAGGUAAGGGUGAAAUGGUGCGGUAAGAGCGCACCGCGCGAUUGGCAACAGUCGUGGCAGGGUAAACCCCACUGGGAGCAAGACCAAAUAGGAAUCCAUCUUGCUGCAAAGCUGGAACGUAUGACCCGUACGGGAUUCGGGUAGGUCGCUCGAGGCUUAUGGUGACGUAAGCCCUAGAUGAAUGAUUGUCCAAGACAGAACCCGGCUUAUCGAUCGACUUUUUCU